This 517-nucleotide ribosomal RNA is filed under the name Alteromonas sp. SF09107-9. RNAcentral describes it as "bacterial SSU rRNA". It matches the Rfam family "Bacterial small subunit ribosomal RNA", at positions 371 to 881 of the family's 1533-position model. RNAcentral also lists the same sequence under 1 other name. Lineage: Bacteria; Pseudomonadati; Pseudomonadota; Gammaproteobacteria; Alteromonadales; Alteromonadaceae. The record is from RNAcentral.
AUGGGGGAAACCCUGAUGCAGCCAUGCCGCGUGUGUGAAGAAGGCCUUCGGGUUGUAAAGCACUUUCAGUUGUGAGGAAAAGUUAGUAGUUAAUACCUGCUAGCCGUGACGUUAACAACAGAAGAAGCACCGGCUAACUCCGUGCCAGCAGCCGCGGUAAUACGGAGGGUGCGAGCGUUAAUCGGAAUUACUGGGCGUAAAGCGCACGCAGGCGGUUUGUUAAGCUAGAUGUGAAAGCCCCGGGCUCAACCUGGGAUGGUCAUUUAGAACUGGCAGACUAGAGUCUUGGAGAGGGGAGUGGAAUUCCAGGUGUAGCGGUGAAAUGCGUAGAUAUCUGGAGGAACAUCAGUGGCGAAGGCGACUCCCUGGCCAAAGACUGACGCUCAUGUGCGAAAGUGUGGGUAGCGAACAGGAUUAGAUACCCUGGUAGUCCACACCGUAAACGCUGUCUACUAGCUGUUUGUGAUUUUAAAUCGUGAGUAGCGAAGCUAACGCGCUAAGUAGACCGCCUGGGAGU